This 28-nucleotide non-coding RNA is filed under the name Homo sapiens (human). The record is from RNAcentral. Lineage: Eukaryota; Metazoa; Chordata; Mammalia; Primates; Hominidae.
GGAAACCAACAAACCACAGGAAGGUCCA